GGAUACCGUUGUACACAACCCAACAACCGUCCAUCCACUCGUUCAGGCGCUCACACCCCCGCAAUCCAUUCCGAUUCGAGCAAUGGGCGGCGCCGCCUCCGUGGAGCCGAACCGAACCCCAGCACCAGCACCAGCACCACCGUAAGCCUCCCUCAACGACGACAUCCUCCUCGCCCUCCCGUCCCUCCAUGCCCUCUCGUCCGCGCGGUCCUCGCCUGCAGCUCGUGGGCUCCCGCGCCGCCCGGCUUUUCGCCGGGGUUCCGCCGCCUGCUCCACCCACCCGGACCCUGCCCCCUCGGGCUCUUCACCGACCACGGCGGCCUCACCAUCCUCCCCGGCACCCCGGACUUCGGCCGCCGCCGCCGUCGCCCUCCGUGGAGCCACGAGCUGGAGGACUACGCCUCCCACGGUUGGCAUGCCGUGGCGUGGCGACCUCCUCCUGCUGAACCCACAGGAGGCUCGCCAUCCUAAACCCCUUUGAUCUGGGACGUGUACUUCAUCCCCGCUGUUGCUCGGUGGCAUCGAGCUGGAACAGGAAGAGCAUGGAGCUUCCGCGCUGUUCCGGUUUACAGGGAUGAAUUCAGGCUUUGUGCUUGCGGUCUUUUCGUCCUCCGAGACCCAUGGGAUUGGAAUUGGAUCAUCCAUAUCGCCAUCCAUGGGUUGAGUUUGCUGGAGACAGCAACAUGAGGCAAUGCUGGCGUGCUAGUGGAUGGCUCGAUUUACUGGCCUUACGAUGGUGAAUGACGCUGAACACCGUGGCCAUGGAAUUCUCCAGGGUGGAAUUACCAUGGGAAUUAAUGACACAGGGGUUGCAGUUUUAUGGCUGGGGAGACUAAGGAUUGAGGGCUUUGCAUUGUGUAUGCAAUAGACUUCCUCAUCCUCAUCUGGAUCCCUAGAGUCGUCAGGAACGGAAUUGCGAGAUGGGCAUCACAGAAGAUAUUCUCUUUGACACCCAUAUCUCAGUUACAAGGGCAUGAGAGUUGUGUGAGUUAGGGCUGGUUAUGUGUACUUGGCAACAGUGGAGGUCUCCCCUGAUGGCCAUGCCCCCUACUUAAUUCUUCUCACUUUGCCUGGAGAACAUGAAGCUUGAGAGACUGUUUCAGGAGAGAUUUCAGGAGACCGUAUAUGUAUGGCCUGGCUUCCUUUGGUUUGUGAUGAUGGGAGCUUUGGACAUGAAGUUGAAGGCUCUCAGUGACAAUCAUCGGGGUUCGAUGGUGGACAGGAUGCUCUUCAAGGUGGCAUGCUGUGGUGAAGAAGUAGAACAACCUUUGUUACCAUCAUCUUCUGUUUUUUUUUAUGAAUAUAGCCGUUGCUGUUGCAAGGCUGCAUGCCACCAACUUGGUCUGACAACCCCAGUUCAAAUCCUCGGAUACAUCCCUAUCUAGGUACUUCAUAUCUUAUUAAAUCCAUGUAUUUUUGUUACUUUUCUUUGGGUUUUUAUUAUUAAAUAUAGUGAUUUUUCUCUUAAUUGUCAUUUGACACUCAUGAUACCUUCUUUAACUGUGGAUAUGUUAUGUGAAUGUGUCGCUUAGAGUUGUUGCUAGAUCUUUCCAUUUGUAGUACACCCUCAAGGCCUUAACUCUUUAACUAUUAGUUUCAUGAACUAUAAACUAUUAAAACAGGAGGUUGUUAUGGCCUCACCCAUGGAUGAUGCUCAAAGAAUAUGAAAAACAGAGUCAUGAUCACAUACCUCAUGCAGUGUGCUUCACAACAUUCUACUGAAAACAGAACACACAGCUUGAAGCUCGCAUGCUGAAUUCAGGGUCACUGAAUGGCAGGGCAGCUCUCCUUUGGCAGGGAAAGGCUAGCAGUUUAUCAUCCAUUAGCUAUUCAGCUCCUCUUGCCCUCCAUGCCAGAGGAGAACUGCACUGUGAUUCUCACCCUGACAAUUUAUUCAAUCUGCCCAUUACUGCUCCUCUCGUCAUUCUUUGCUUCCAAUAUUUUCCUUGCUCUGUAUUUUAAUUGUUGAACUCAGGUAUAUAUAGCACAAAGAUCACUGAGUAAAAUCUGGAUAUGCCUUGGAAUAUGCUACCUAAGCUGACAAUGCUUGAGCAGCUAAUAAACUGUCACUUUUGCGUUUGCAUCUUAUAACUGACUGACCCCCGUACCCUUCUGGUUUCUGUUGCUAAUACAAAAGGGAACCAGUCUUGAACAUGAGCUUGAAUUCGAUGGGCCAUGUCUGGAUCAUAUUCUUUUCCAUUUCGUGGAUCCUGCUGAUAGCCUGAUAUUAUGCUCUGUUCUGGGACAUUCUUAUGGAUCUUCCCCCUGGGUGCUCUUGAAGCUGUAUAUGAAGAAUCCGUUACUGCAUCUGAUUCUUUCACAGCAAAGGACAACUUUUAUAAAGUAAUACUUUGUACAUGCAGCCUGAGGAGCUCGCCAUAUGGUUUUGAUCAGAUCAAAUCACUGCCGAAAUCUGAAACAAUGUUAUUAUGAUAUUAUCAAGCAGUGACAUGAAAGAGAACUUGUUAGUUAUGAAAUGGAACAUAAAUAUAACUUGUAUUUUCAACAGUAGUAAAAACAUCAUACCGUUGUUAGGUGUAUUAAAAAUUGGCUCAUUUUUUCCACAUCCCCCCAUAGCCCCAACACACACCCACACCCACACACACACACCCACACACCCCACCACCGAAGGUCCAAACUUUACAAUCAAUCUUUGAUGUGGUUUGGCCAUGAGCAAUGAUUCAAAAUCUAAGAAAUCUCUCUCUCUCUCUCUCUCUCUCUCUCUCUGUGUGUGUGUGUGUGUGUGUGUGUGUGUUUUAUUCGUUUUAUGGACGUUUUCCACUUUAUAUUUUGUUUAUGCCACCUAGGAUGUGUUUGGAAAAACAAACCUUAGAUUUGAAAUGAGUCAGAGUACAAAUUAAAGUGCCAUUUUUGUCAUACAAGUACAAUAGGAAAUUGUAACCCAGCAGUUCAGAAUACAGCAAGUUAAUUUAAAAUCUUUGCACUGCCUUCUCCAUCUGCUUUAAAUGUAUGCUUACACCUUCAAGAGUAGAAUUAGCUCCAAACAUAUGCAGGUGGGUGAAGUGUACAUGACUUAAAACCUUUAUGGUUCUGUAUAUUAAUAGUGAUCCCAAUUAAAACUGGCAUACCAACUGAGCCAGGUUCAUAUGGGGCACUACGUGACUAGCACUGGAUGAAAAGGGAGCACUCUGAGCCGUGUCAAAACAGUUCUGGUUGAUGAAUCAAUCAUGGGCAGAAGAGGGAUGCUGAUAGUAAUGAAUUAGCUAAGAGCCCAAGAUGAAAAGAACUGUAAAGCCAUGCGAGACCUUCUGGAAGGAGAGAACACUAAGACAAAGAAGUUCAGUGGUUGUGCAAACUGAAAUCUUUGACUUUGUUGGUAAGCAUGUUCCGGUCAAUGUUGCACUAACGAUUUGAUCUCGUAAGUGUUAUGCGGCUUUUCGAUGCCCAAGAGCUGCUUGAUCCGCACAUCUUUUGGUACUUCUCCAAAGAAUAAGUUGUGUAUCAGGUUUCUCCAGAGUUUUGAAAGGGCAUGAAAUGAGGAAGAAUAUCCACAAGGAUGUUCCAUAUAGCAAAGCAUAAUAUACAUGGACAUUUUCACAUGAUAAAGAAUAUGAUUCAUGUGGUCCACCAGUUAGUUGCAUGUACAUUGACUCGAUUUGAAAACUUAUCAUUUUGUGUUGUUAUUGAUAUUUAUUUUUACAAACUUGCACUACCAAUAGAACUAAAGGGAAUAAUAUAUGUGGAAAAAAGCUAGACCUUUUUUAAUCAGAUGAUAAUAGUGAGCAUUAUUUUUAUAUGGUUCAUUUUUUUAGAAAGGUAAAUGAAGUCUAAAUAGCACUUGCUGAUUUAGAAGUAUAUAUGCAUAUCUUGUCUGUGUCUAUGACUCUGCUAUAGGUAAUUAUGUAUAAAUGCCUGGUAAGUUAGAAAACAAAACAAGGAAAAGAUUGUGGCCAAAGAAGAGUGUGGACAUAAGGUAAAUAACAAAUGGAAUAUUUUUCUUAUGUAGCAUGUACUAUAUUGCUCUGUGAGAAUCACAGCAUGAGUUCUCUGGCAUGGAGGCUGAUGGCUCUAGGAGGAUCUGCCAGCAAUGCUAUGGCUAUCCCUGGCAGACGUGAACUGCACUGCUAUUUGGAAUAAACCCUGCUUUGAUCUUCAAAGAUAUUUGGAAUAAACCCUGCUUUGAUCUUCCAAUGUCUUUGAGUAUGUAGCUGCCGUUUUGGGUCAUAUAGUAGAAUGCACGCAUGGUAUUUCUUCCAUGGAUCUUCAAAAACCUCUGGAAUUAUUUCUACAUCCUUAUAAACAAGACCAACUUUGGAUUUGGAGAUUCAAUAAUCACUUCAUAGCAGCAUAGGAAACUGACAAGUUUAAAUUUGGAAAAUCAGACAAAUAGCAUCAUACCCAUGUUGUAGCGUGGUCAACAACUGUUUCUAUACAUAGACUCUGAGUUAAUUUUCGUCCAGUGUCUUAGUCACUUAGGAUGUGGGUACUUUACUGCAUGUGACUCAAAAUCAUAAAUUGCUAAUUCCCAAACCUACUGGCACUGGCUUCUUUUCCUUUUUGUUCUUAAAGUCUUAACAGAUCACUAUGGUGUUUUAUUCCUUGCACAUAUGUUUUCUUUGCUCGGCUCUUGAACAUGAAGGUAUGCGAUAGCAUCUGACAGAACUCCAUCACAUGCUGUAUGCCAUAGCCUUGGCCUUGUGCUAGAACCAAUGAAUUUGCUUUAGCAGCGGAAUUUUGUCCAAAUGAUUUAGACUAAUAUCUGUAUGCUGAGUGGUAGCCCUUCUUAUUGCCAGUUAUCUCCAUUGUACAAUCCUUGGUAGAUAGAUGUGUUGUAGAGGACUGGGGACUAAAGAUAACUUCCAUUGAAAGCUGUGGAUAUCUUUGGCCAUAUCUCUACAAGCCUACCAUUUCAAACAAAUUUAACUUUUCAAAUCAAAUUCAACCAAUGAGAUUGUGUGACACAUACCAACUGUGAUGGCCUGACAAUUUUAUCAUACAUGCUCUUUGCAACAUCGUUAGUUUGAUACUUUGAUUGAUUAUCUCAUCCAUUCAAUGGGUAAUAUCUCUUGUUAGUUACUUGGUUUUUGAGCAAGUUCCUUUUUAUUAGCUUAUAUAAUCAUCAUUCUUUAGAAAAUUAUAGCAUGGAUUCCCAACAAAAAUUACGGUACCUAUUUCAUGCUAAUACUAAAUAUCUCAGGACCACACAUUUGAGAAGGUGCCUGGGAGGUUUGGAAACAUGUUCAUCUGAGGUGUGCUGCAAAAUUUGGUCUGGGUUUAAAAACAAUAAAGAGGUUUCCUCUUCUUAUCCUGUGUAGUGUUUGUGGAAGUAAUUUGAUGCUUUCAACCAUAUCAUGCUUCGUCUUACUUUUAGCCAGCUAUCUUCAUAUAUGUAAUAUGGUAAGAAAUGCAUGGACUGAACCUGUUUUUUGUGUCACAUGUAAAGCCCCCUUUUCUGCCUUAUUUGCAGAACCAUAACUAACUGGCUAUUUACUGGUGAGAAUCUUUGUGCAAUGCUAUCUGGAAAGCUUGUAACUGGGCUAAUUUCCAAACCUAGCUGUUUUUGAACACCAACAUAUUAUUUACUAUGCUGGGCAAACAUGUAGAAAGGAAGACCCGGAGAUGGUUGUUGAAUUAGCCAGUUUAUUAUACUCUGAUGAAGAUUGCUGAAGCAACACGUUGGAUUUGCUCAUGCCAGGAUGAUGGAACUUUUAGAUGGUAAAAACACGCUAAAAACGACAUUUUAGUCUUCUGAUGUCCUUAUGUCAUGGGAUUUAACUCUGUGAUCAGGUUGAGAUCUCUCUCUCUCUCUCUCUCUCUCUCUCUCUCUCUCUCUCUCCUUUUUUUUUCUUUUUUCUUUUUUUUUUGUCGAAGAGGAUUUACACAAUGUAACAGUUCUGUUGGGCGUUGCGUUGGUGGUCAAUAAUGCUUUUCUGAACCUAUGUAUGAAUACCUGGCAUUAGAUAUCCUUUGUGUCGAAUGAUAUUUUGUUUUUCUGAAUCUAUGUAUGAACACCUGGCAUUAGAUA
Non-coding RNA from Oryza sativa Japonica Group (Japanese rice), 5986 nucleotides. NCBI's taxonomy places the organism in Eukaryota, Viridiplantae, Streptophyta, Magnoliopsida, Poales, Poaceae. The record is from RefSeq and is a predicted model, not a curated record.